GACGAACGCUGGCGGCGUGCUUAACACAUGCAAGUCGAACGGAAAGGCCCUGCUUUUGUGGGGUGCUCGAGUGGCGAACGGGUGAGUAACACGUGAGUAACCUGCCCUUGACUUUGGGAUAACUUCAGGAAACUGGGGCUAAUACCGGAUAGGAGCUCCUGCUGCAUGGUGGGGGUUGGAAAGUUUCGGCGGUUGGGGAUGGACUCGCGGCUUAUCAGCUUGUUGGUGGGGUAGUGGCUUACCAAGGCUUUGACGGGUAGCCGGCCUGAGAGGGUGACCGGCCACAUUGGGACUGAGAUACGGCCCAGACUCCUACGGGAGGCAGCAGUGGGGAAUAGUGCACAAUGGGCGGAAGCCUGAUGCAGCAACGCCGCGUGCGGGAUGACGGCCUUCGGGUUGUAAACCGCUUUCGCCUGUGACGAAGCGUGAGUGACGGUAAUGGGUAAAGAAGCACCGGCUAACUACG
Molecule: ribosomal RNA, 466 nt
Filed under: uncultured bacterium
Lineage: Bacteria
Description: partial 16S ribosomal RNA
Rfam family: Bacterial small subunit ribosomal RNA
Source: RNAcentral